This 253-nucleotide ribosomal RNA is filed under the name uncultured bacterium. RNAcentral describes it as "partial 16S ribosomal RNA". It matches the Rfam family "Bacterial small subunit ribosomal RNA", at positions 524 to 776 of the family's 1533-position model. The record is from RNAcentral.
UACGUAGGGGGCGAGCGUUGUUCGGAAUUACUGGGCGUAAAGGGCGCGUAGGCGGUUGGAUAAGUCAGCUGUGAAAACCACGGGCUUAACUCGUGGCCUGCAGUUGAGACUGUCUGGCUUGAGUGUGGGAGAGGAGAGUGGAAUUCCUGGUGUAGCGGUGAAAUGCGUAGAUAUCAGGAGGAACACCGGUGGCGAAGGUGGCUCUCUGGACCACAACUGACGCUGAGGCGCGAAAGCUAGGGGAGCAAACAGG